UGGCGACCGGCGCACGGGUGAGUAACGCGUAUCCAACCUGCCCUUUACUAUGGGACAGCCCGUCGAAAGGCGGAUUAAUACCGUAUGUUGUCAUGUUGAUGCAUAUUUUCAUGACCAAAGGCUUCGGCCGGUAAAGGAUGGGGAUGCGUCUGAUUAGCUUGCCGGCGGGGUAACGGCCCACCGGGGCGACGAUCAGUAGGGGUUCUGAGAGGAAGGUCCCCCACAUUGGAACUGAGACGCGGUCCAAACUCCUACGGAAGGCAGCAG
This 267-nucleotide ribosomal RNA is filed under the name uncultured bacterium. RNAcentral's name for it is "partial 16S ribosomal RNA". It matches the Rfam family "Bacterial small subunit ribosomal RNA", at positions 89 to 354 of the family's 1533-position model. The record is from RNAcentral.